This 31-nucleotide non-coding RNA is filed under the name Mus musculus (house mouse). The record is from RNAcentral. Lineage: Eukaryota; Metazoa; Chordata; Mammalia; Rodentia; Muridae.
UCUCCUUGUGGCCAAAUCGUGCAUGCGCACC